GACGAACGCUGGCGGCGUGCUUAACACAUGCAAGUCGAACGAAGAGCGAUGGAAGCUUGCUUCUCUCAAUCUUAGUGGCGAACGGGUGAGUAACGCGUAAUCAACCUUCCCUUCAGAGGGGGACAACAGUUGGAAACGACUGCUAAUACCGCAUACGAUCUAAUCUCGGCAUCGAGGAUAGAUGAAAGGUGGCCUCUACAUGUAAGCUCUCACUGAAGGAGGGGAUUGCGUCUGAUUAGCUAGUUGGAGGGGUAACGGCCCACCAAGGCGAUGAUCAGUAGCCGGUCUGAGAGGAUGAACGGCCACAUUGGGACUGAGACACGGCCCAGACUCCUACGGGAGGCAGCAGUGGGGAAUCUUCCGCAAUGGACGAAAGUCUGACGGAGCAACGCCGCGUGAGUGAUGACGGCCUUCGGGUUGUAAAGCUCUGUUAAUCGGGACGAAAGGCCUUCUUGCGAACAGUUAGAAGGAUUGACGGUACCGGAAUAGAAAGCCACGGCUAACUACGUG
This 510-nucleotide ribosomal RNA is filed under the name uncultured bacterium. RNAcentral's name for it is "partial 16S ribosomal RNA". It matches the Rfam family "Bacterial small subunit ribosomal RNA", at positions 28 to 507 of the family's 1533-position model. The record is from RNAcentral.